RNAcentral lists this transfer RNA (72 nucleotides) under Bos taurus (domestic cattle). It matches the Rfam family "tRNA". Rfam says of the family: Transfer RNA (tRNA) molecules are approximately 80 nucleotides in length. The record is from Rfam by way of RNAcentral. Lineage: Eukaryota; Metazoa; Chordata; Mammalia; Artiodactyla; Bovidae. RNAcentral also lists the same sequence under 4 other names.
UCCCUUGUGGCUCAGACAGUAAAGCAUCUGCCUACAAUGCAGGAGACCCGGGUUUGAUCCCUGGGUCGGGAA